GAUGAACGCUGGCGGCGUGCCUAAUACAUGCAAGUCGAGCGAACCUCUUCGGAGGUUAGCGGCGGACGGGUGAGUAACACGUGGGCAACCUACCUUGUAGAUGGGGAUAACAUCGAGAAAUCGGUGCUAAUACCGAAUAACACUUUUCUCCACAUGGAGAAAAGUUAAAAGUUGGCUUUUGCUAACACUACAAGAUGGGCCGCGGGCGCAUUAGCUAGUUGGUGAGGUAACGGCUCACCAAGGCGACGAUGCGUAGCCGACCUGAGAGGGUGAUCGGCCACACUGGGACUGAGACACGGCCCAGACUCCUACGGGAGGCAGCAGUAGGGAAUCUUCCGCAAUGGACGAAAGUCUGACGGAGCAACGCCGCGUGAGUGAUGAAGGCCUUCGGGUCGUAAAACUCUGUUGUUAGGGAAGAACAAGUACCGUUCGAAUAGGGCGGUACCGUGACGGUACCUAACCAGAAAGCCACGGCUAACUACGUGCCAGCAGCCGCGGUAA
Molecule: ribosomal RNA, 501 nt
Filed under: uncultured bacterium
Lineage: Bacteria
Description: partial 16S ribosomal RNA
Rfam family: Bacterial small subunit ribosomal RNA
Source: RNAcentral